AUAAACGCUGGCGGCGUGCAUGAGACAUGCAAGUCGAACGGACGAUCGAGGCUUGCUUCGAUCGUUAGUGGCGGACGGCUGAGUAACGCGUAGGUGACCUGCCCCGAAGUGGGGAAUAACUGCCCGAAAGGGUGGCUAAUACCGCAUGUGGUGGUGUGUUCAAUCACACCAGUAAAGCCGCAAGGCGCUUCGGGAGGGGCCUGCGUCCGAUUAGCUCGUUGGUGGGGUAACGGCUCACCAAGGCGACGAUCGGUAGGUGGUCUGAGAGGACGAUCACCCAGACUGGGACUGAGACACGGCCCAGACUCCUACGGGAGGCAGCAGUCGGGAAUUUUGCGCAAUGGACGAAAGUCUGACGCAGCAACGCCGCGUGAGGGAUGAAGGCCUUCGGGUUGUAAACCUCUUUUAUCAGGGAAGAUAAUGACGGUACCUGAUGAAUAAGUCACGGCUAACUACGU
Molecule: ribosomal RNA, 458 nt
Filed under: uncultured bacterium
Lineage: Bacteria
Description: bacterial SSU rRNA
Rfam family: Bacterial small subunit ribosomal RNA
Source: RNAcentral